RNAcentral lists this ribosomal RNA (464 nucleotides) under Microterricola sp. RNAcentral's name for it is "bacterial SSU rRNA". It matches the Rfam family "Bacterial small subunit ribosomal RNA", at positions 400 to 874 of the family's 1533-position model. The record is from RNAcentral. Lineage: Bacteria; Bacillati; Actinomycetota; Actinomycetes; Micrococcales; Microbacteriaceae.
CGUGAGGGAUGACGGCCUUCGGGUUGUAAACCUCUUUUAGUAGGGAAGAAGCGAAAGUGACGGUACCUGCAGAAAAAGCACCGGCUAACUACGUGCCAGCAGCCGCGGUAAUACGUAGGGUGCAAGCGUUGUCCGGAAUUAUUGGGCGUAAAGAGCUCGUAGGCGGUUUGUCGCGUCUGCUGUGAAAUCUGGGGGCUCAACCCCCAGCCUGCAGUGGGUACGGGCAGACUAGAGUGCGGUAGGGGAGAUUGGAAUUCCUGGUGUAGCGGUGGAAUGCGCAGAUAUCAGGAGGAACACCGAUGGCGAAGGCAGAUCUCUGGGCCGUAACUGACGCUGAGGAGCGAAAGCAUGGGGAGCGAACAGGAUUAGAUACCCUGGUAGUCCAUGCCGUAAACGUUGGGAACUAGAUGUGGGGGCCAUUCCACGGUCUCCGUGUCGCAGCUAACGCAUUAAGUUCCCCGCCU